RNAcentral lists this ribosomal RNA (517 nucleotides) under uncultured Glomus. Its description in RNAcentral is "SSU rRNA". It matches the Rfam family "Eukaryotic small subunit ribosomal RNA", at positions 569 to 1085 of the family's 1831-position model. The record is from RNAcentral. Lineage: Eukaryota; Fungi; Glomeromycota; Glomeromycetes; Glomerales; Glomeraceae.
CGCAGCCGCGGUAAUUCCAGCUCCAAUAGCGUAUAUUAAAGUUGUUGCAGUUAAAAAGCUCGUAGUUGAAUUUCGGGAUCAAAUUGUCGGUCGUGCCUCGGUACGCACUGGUAUUAUUGGUUCCUACCUUCUGAAGAACCGCGAUGUCAUUAAUUUGGUGUCGUGGGGAAUCAGGACUGUUACUUUGAAAAAUUGAAGUGUUUGAAGCAGGCUUACGCUUGAAUACAUUAGCAUGGAAUAAUGAAAUAGGACGUUUGAUUCUAUUUUGUUGGUUUCUAGGAUUGACGUAAUGAUUAAUAGGGAUAGUUGGGGGCAUUAGUAUUCAAUUGUCAGAGGUGAAAUUCUUGGAUUUAUUGAAGGCUAACUACUGCGAAAGCAUUUGCCAAGGAUGUUUUCAUUAAUCAAGAACGAAAGUUAGGGGAAUCGAAGACGAGUCAGAUACCGUCGUAGUCUUAACCAUAAACUAAUGACCGGCUAGGGAUCGGAUGAUGUUAAUUUUUAAUGUACUCAUUCGGCG